RNAcentral lists this ribosomal RNA (404 nucleotides) under Actinomycetes bacterium. Its description in RNAcentral is "Actinobacteria bacterium partial 16S ribosomal RNA". It matches the Rfam family "Bacterial small subunit ribosomal RNA", at positions 355 to 776 of the family's 1533-position model. The record is from RNAcentral. Lineage: Bacteria; Bacillati; Actinomycetota; Actinomycetes.
UGGGGAAUAUUGGACAAUGGGCGCAAGCCUGAUCCAGCCAUGCCGCGUGAGUGAUGAAGGCCCUAGGGUUGUAAAGCUCUUUCACCGGUGAAGAUAAUGACGGUAACCGGAGAAGAAGCCCCGGCUAACUUCGUGCCAGCAGCCGCGGUAAUACGAAGGGGGCUAGCGUUGUUCGGAUUUACUGGGCGUAAAGCGCACGUAGGCGGACUAUUAAGUCAGGGGUGAAAUCCCGGGGCUCAACCCCGGAACUGCCUUUGAUACUGGUAGUCUUGAGUUCGAGAGAGGUGAGUGGAAUUCCGAGUGUAGAGGUGAAAUUCGAAGAUAUUCGGAGGAACACCAGUGGCGAAGGCGGCUCACUGGCUCGAUACUGACGCUGAGGUGCGAAAGCGUGGGGAGCAAACAGG